Molecule: ribosomal RNA, 484 nt
Filed under: uncultured bacterium
Lineage: Bacteria
Description: partial 16S ribosomal RNA
Rfam family: Bacterial small subunit ribosomal RNA
Source: RNAcentral
GACGAACGCUGGCGGCGUGCUUAACACAUGCAAGUCGAACGAUGAAGCUGGAGCUUGCUCCGGUGGAUUAGUGGCGAACGGGUGAGUAACACGUGAGCAAUCUGCCCUUGACUCUGGGAUAACUGCGGGAAACUGUAGCUAAUACCGGAUACUUUCACUGGAAGGCAUCUUCUGGUGAAGAAAGAAUUUCGGUCAAGGAUGAGCUCGCGGCCUAUCAGCUUGUUGGUGAGGUAACGGCUCACCAAGGCGACGACGGGUAGCCGGCCUGAGAGGGUGACCGGCCACACUGGGACUGAGACACGGCCCAGACUCCUGCGGGAGGCAGCAGUGGGGAAUAUUGCACAAUGGGCGCAAGCCCGAUGCAGCAACGCCGCGUGAGGGAUGAAGGCCUUCGGGUUGUAAACCUCUUUUAGCAGGGAAGAAGCGAAAGUGACGGUACCUGCAGAAAAAGCACCGGCUAACCACGUGCCAGCCGCCGCCGUAA